AGAGUUUGAUCCUGGCUCAGGAUGAACGCUAGCGGCAGGCCUAACACAUGCAAGUCGAGGGGUAACAGGAAAGCUUGCUUUCGCUGACGACCGGCGCACGGGUGCGUAACGCGUAUGCAACCUACCUCAUACUGGAGAAUAGCCCCUGGAAACGGGGAUUAAUACUCCAUAGUAUCAUUCUUUCGCAUGUUUGAAUGAUUAAAGAAUUUCGGUAUGAGAUGGGCAUGCGUCCCAUUAGCUAGUUGGUGAGGUAACGGCUCACCAAGGCUACGAUGGGUAGGGGGCCUGAGAGGGUGGUCCCCCACACUGGUACUGAGACACGGACCAGACUCCUACGGGAGGCAGCAGUGAGGAAUAUUGGUCAAUGGAGGCAACUCUGAACCAGCCAUGCCGCGUGAAGGAUGACGGCCCUAUGGGUUGUAAACUUCUUUUGAAUAGGAAGAAACUUAUCUACGUGUAGAUAACUGACGGUACUAUUAGAAUAAGGAUCGGCUAACUCCGUGCCAGCAGCCGCGGUAAUACGGAGGAUCCAAGCGUUAUCCGGAUUCAUUGGGUUUAAAGGGUCCGUAGGCGGAUCUUUAAGUCAGUAGUGAAAGCCGACAGCUUAACUGUCGAACUGCCAUUGAUACUGGAGAUCUUGAGUACAAAUGAAGUAGGCGGAAUGAGUCAUGUAGCGGUGAAAUGCAUAGAUAUGACUCAGAACACCGAUUGCGAAGGCAGCUUACUAACAUGUAACUGACGCUGAGGGACGAAAGCGUGGGGGAGCGAACAGGAUUAGAUACCCUGGUAGUCCACGCCGUAAACGAUCAUCACUCGCUGUUGGCGAUAUACUGUCAGCGGCCAAGCGAAAGUAUUAAGUGAUGCACCUGGGGAGUACGCCGGCAACGGUGAAACUUAAAGGAAUUGACGG
Molecule: ribosomal RNA, 910 nt
Filed under: uncultured marine bacterium
Lineage: Bacteria
Description: bacterial SSU rRNA
Rfam family: Bacterial small subunit ribosomal RNA
Source: RNAcentral